Molecule: ribosomal RNA, 633 nt
Filed under: Triticum aestivum (bread wheat)
Lineage: Eukaryota; Viridiplantae; Streptophyta; Magnoliopsida; Poales; Poaceae
Description: partial small subunit ribosomal RNA
Source: RNAcentral
AUGAACAUCAACACCCCACCUACCCAAUUAGUGUCGGCUGUCGUGCUGGAUGAUAGCGGAUGGGGUGAGGAAGAGGCUCCAUUAGUCGCUGGUGACGUCGCCAUAGAUGAGGAUGAGGAUUACGAUGACACUCAACAAUAUUUCAAUACUGGCGCCUACUUAGGGUUUGAGUGUCAUGAGUCGGUGCUUGAAUUGCCGCCUCGGGAGUCUGAACGUAUUAUGGACGACCUUCCGGUAGCAAAGAAGCCUAGGAAGAGAUCGAGGAAAGGCAACAAAGCUGCUUCUAUGAUCCAGCAACCUUGGGUUCAAGACCGUAUAGAUAUCCUCGGUGCGGCAAAAUGGCAUAUCCCUGGUGAACCAAUCCUACCUAAAGCAGCUCUAGGGGCCAGAUUCGGCAAUCUAAGGAGACUUUAUGACGAUGUGUUGCAGAUAGAAAAGGCCUCAUCGCCUCGAAAAAUCCAGGAUACCCACUCUACGUGGUUAACAUGCCGCGGCAAUUGUCGUACAUUAACACAUUCCCGCGGAGAAGUUCUUCCUUCGAUUCUAUUAUUUCGACAUGUUUCACUUGAAGAAGUUGUAUUUUACCUUUGUCCGCCUUUAUGCCUUGCACAUGAACUACCUCAUCGGGGUUGA